ACGCCGCGUGAGUGAGAAGGUCUUCCGAUUGAAAGCUCUGUCCUUAGGGAAGAACCGUGGGUAUAGUUAAUGAUACCCACCUGACGGUACCUUUGGAGGAAGCACUGGCUAACUACGUGCCAGCAGCCGCGGUAAUACGUAGAGUGCAAGCGUUGUCCGGAAUUAUUGGGCGUAAAGGGUACCCAGGCGGAUGAUCAAGUCAAGCGUGAAAGGUGUCGGCUUAACCGACAGACUGCGUUUGAAACUGGUUAUCUUGAGUGCAACAGAGGAGAGUGGAAUUCCUAGUGUAGUUGUGAAACACGUAGAUAUUAGGAAGAACACCAGUGGCGAAGGCGACUCUCUGGGUUAACACUGACGCUGAGGUACGAAAGCUGGGGGAGCGAACGGGAUUAGAUACCCCGGUAGUCCCAGCCGUAAACGAUGGAUACUAGGUGUUGGAGGUUCCAAUCCCUUCAGUGCCGGAGUUAACGCAUUAAGUAUCCCGCCUGGGAUUACGAUCGCCAGAUUGAAACUCCAAGGAAUUGACGGGGGCCCGCACAAGCGGGGGGACCAUGUGGUUUAAUUCCAACCCACGCCAAAAACCUUACCGAGAAUUGACCUCCCCGUGACCCUCUAUGAAAGUAGAAUUUUGG
Molecule: ribosomal RNA, 632 nt
Filed under: uncultured Halanaerobium sp.
Lineage: Bacteria; Bacillati; Bacillota; Clostridia; Halanaerobiales; Halanaerobiaceae
Description: bacterial SSU rRNA
Rfam family: Bacterial small subunit ribosomal RNA
Source: RNAcentral